Molecule: ribosomal RNA, 515 nt
Filed under: uncultured bacterium
Lineage: Bacteria
Description: partial 16S ribosomal RNA
Rfam family: Bacterial small subunit ribosomal RNA
Source: RNAcentral
GAUGAACGCUGGCGGCGUGCCUAAUACAUGCAAGUCGAGCGAAUGGAUUAAGAGCUCGCUCUUAUGAAGUUAGCGGCGGACGGGUGAGUAACACGUGGGUAACCUGCCCAUAAGACUGGGAUAACUCCGGGAAACCGGGGCUAAUACCGGAUAAUAUUUUGAACUGCAUGGUUCAAAAUUGAAAGGCGGCUUCGGCUGUCACUUAUGGAUGGACCCGCGUCGCAUUAGCUAGUUGGUGAGGUAACGGCUCACCAAGGCAACGAUGCGUAGCCGACCUGAGAGGGUGAUCGGCCACACUGGGACUGAGACACGGCCCAGACUCCUACGGGAGGCAGCAGUAGGGAAUCUUCCGCAAUGGACGAAAGUCUGACGGAGCAACGCCGCGUGAGUGAUGAAGGCUUUCGGGUCGUAAAACUCUGUUGUUAGGGAAGAACAAGUGCUAGUUGAAUAAGUUGGCACCUUGACGGUACCUAACCAGCAAGCCACGGCUAACUACGUGCCAGCCGCCGCCGUAA